AAAUAUCAGCAUUUCACGUUCGACAUUUUUCACAGUGAUUUGUAUGCAUUAAUCGACACUUAGUCUCUGGCACGCAAAUUUACUUUCGUAUAGUGAGCACAUAGUUGUGUGAACGGUAGAUGGAAAUUCCGAAAAUACCCUUCGAUUCUGCAUGAAAUUCUGUAUCAACCGCCCUAGUUUUCCUUUUUCAUUCAAAAACUGAACCGAGAUAUUCGCCCUUUAAUACUCUAAAACUCGAGUCUUUACCCUGCUAUAGGAAUUUGUGUACUGAGUAGAUGGAAAAUCGGAGAACACCAUUGAAUUCGCCAUAAAAAUCAGUAUCUUUUCAUAGUAAAUAUCCC
Non-coding RNA from Paramuricea clavata, 341 nucleotides. NCBI's taxonomy places the organism in Eukaryota, Metazoa, Cnidaria, Anthozoa, Malacalcyonacea, Plexauridae. The record is from the annotation of a GenBank genome assembly.